RNAcentral lists this ribosomal RNA (513 nucleotides) under uncultured bacterium. RNAcentral describes it as "partial 16S ribosomal RNA". It matches the Rfam family "Bacterial small subunit ribosomal RNA", at positions 28 to 523 of the family's 1533-position model. The record is from RNAcentral.
GACGAACGCUGGCGGCGUGCCUAAUACAUGCAAGUCGAGCGGACAGAAGGGAGCUUGCUCCCGGAAGUUAGCGGCGGACGGGUGAGUAACACGUGGGCAACCUACCCUGUAGAUCGGGAUAACAUCGAGAAAUCGGUGCUAAUACCGGAUAAUCAUAUGAAGUGAAUGCUUAGAAUGUAAAAGAUGGCUCCGGCUAUCACUACGGGAUGGGCCCGCGGCGCAUUAGCUAGUUGGUAAGGUAAUGGCUUACCAAGGCAACGAUGCGUAGCCGCCCUGGGAGGGUGAUCGGCCACACUGGGACUGAGACACGGCCCAGACUCCUACGGGAGGCAGCAGUAGGGAAUCUUCCGCAAUGGACGAAAGUCUGACGGAGCAACGCCGCGUGAGUGAUGAAGGUUUUCGGAUCGUAAAGCUCUGUUGUUAGGGAAGAACAAGUGCCGUUUGAAUAAGGCGGCACCUUGACGGUACCUAACCAGAAAGCCACGGCUAACUACGUGCCAGCCGCCGCCGUAA